GUUGUCGUAUCGCAUGUUCAGUACGUUUAUUAAUAAGCGGAAUUUACAGAACUUUCUUCCGAUAUUUAAGAAGGAGGUUUCGUGUUGGGAUGACAAUCCUUUCCGAUAGCAAGCAUGAUCGGGGUAUUCUCCAAGCCAAGUACAGACUAAUGAAAAGAAAAGAAAUCAUAAAAAGCUUGAAGGACACUUAGAGAGACGCCUAGCUGUCUAAGGAGACAGGUAAUUAAGACUCAUUGGAUACAACCCACAA
Molecule: long non-coding RNA, 250 nt
Organism: Exaiptasia diaphana
Lineage: Eukaryota; Metazoa; Cnidaria; Anthozoa; Actiniaria; Aiptasiidae
Exons: 3
Source: RefSeq, a predicted model, not a curated record